CAAUAGCGUAUAUUAAAGUUGUUGCAGUUAAAAAGCUCGUAGUUGAAUUUUUGCUUGCCGCCGAUGUCGGAACUUCCGUACGUUCGGCGGCGUGCAUCCUUGGGUGGAACCUGUGUGGCAUUAGGUUGUCGUGCAGGGGAUGCUCAUCGUUUACUGUGAAAAAAUUAGAGUGUUCAAAGCAGGCUUACGCCGUUGAAUAUAUUAGCAUGGAAUAAUAAGAUAGGACAUUGGUACUAUUUUGUUGGUUUGCGCACCGAGGUAAUGAUUAACAGGGACAGUUGGGGGUAUUCGUAUUCCAUUGUCAGAGGUGAAAUUCUUGGAUUUCUGGAAGACGAACUACUGCGAAAGCAUUUACCAAGGAUGUUUNCAUUAA
Molecule: ribosomal RNA, 373 nt
Filed under: uncultured eukaryote
Lineage: Eukaryota
Description: partial 18S ribosomal RNA
Rfam family: Eukaryotic small subunit ribosomal RNA
Source: RNAcentral